UGAGGAAUAUUGGUCAAUGGGCGCAAGCCUGAACCAGCCAUCCCGCGUGCAGGAAGAAGGUUUUCGGAUUGUAAACUUCUGUCCUCAGGGAAGAAAAAAAUGACGGUACCUGGGGAGGAAGCCCCGGCUAACUACGUGCCAGCAGCCGCGGUAAUACGUAGGGGGCGAGCGUUGUCCGGAAUGCCUGGGCGUAAGGGCGCGUAGUCGGCUUAUUAAGUGAAUAUUGAAAGCUGGAGGCUCAACCUUACAGACUAUAAUUCAAACUGGUAGACUCGAGAGUAGUAGAGGUAACUGGAAUUUCUUGUGUAGGAGUGGAAUCCGUAGAUAUAAGAAGGAACACCAAUGGCGUAGGCAGGUUACUGGAUUAUCGCUGACACUGAGGCACGAAAGCGUGGGGAGCGAACC
This 405-nucleotide ribosomal RNA is filed under the name uncultured prokaryote. RNAcentral describes it as "bacterial SSU rRNA". It matches the Rfam family "Bacterial small subunit ribosomal RNA", at positions 355 to 774 of the family's 1533-position model. The record is from RNAcentral.